GACGGAGGGGGCAAGCGUUGUCCGGAAUCAUUGGGCGUAAAGCGCGUGUAGGCGGCCCGGUAAGUCCGCUGUGAAAGUCGGGGGCUCAACCCUCGAAUGCCGGUGGAUACUGUCGGGCUAGAGUGCGGGAGAGGCGAGUGGAAUUCCUGGUGUAGCGGUGAAAUGCGCAGAUAUCAGGAGGAACACCAAUUGCGAAGGCAGCUCGCUGGGACGUAACUGACGCUGAGACGCGAAAGCGUGGGGAGCAAACAGG
This 253-nucleotide ribosomal RNA is filed under the name uncultured bacterium. Its description in RNAcentral is "partial 16S ribosomal RNA". It matches the Rfam family "Bacterial small subunit ribosomal RNA", at positions 524 to 776 of the family's 1533-position model. The record is from RNAcentral.